RNAcentral lists this ribosomal RNA (253 nucleotides) under uncultured bacterium. RNAcentral's name for it is "partial 16S ribosomal RNA". It matches the Rfam family "Bacterial small subunit ribosomal RNA", at positions 524 to 776 of the family's 1533-position model. The record is from RNAcentral.
UACGUAGGGUGCAAGCGUUAAUCGGAAUUGCUGGGCGUAAAGCGUGCGCAGGCGGUUAUGUAAGACAGGUGUGAAAUCCCCGGGCUUAACCUGGGAACUGCAUUUGUGACUGCAUAGCUAGAGUACGGUAGAGGGGGAUGGAAUUCCGCGUGUAGCAGUGAAAUGCGUAGAUAUGCGGAGGAACACCGAUGGCGAAGGCAAUCCCCUGGACCUGUACUGACGCUCAUGCACGAAAGCGUGGGGAGCAAACAGG